UAAUAAGUGUUUUAUGGCACUUUUUAAAUCCAUAUCCACCUUGUGUGCAAUGUCAGUCGAUCUUCUUCAUGGAGAUCGACCAAACAUCAACCUUUAUCUUUUAACUCUUUGUCUGAAAAAUAUUAUGAAAUAAACAAUUCAAAAUA
Molecule: unclassified non-coding RNA, 146 nt
Filed under: soil metagenome
Description: partial internal transcribed spacer 1
Source: RNAcentral